This 253-nucleotide ribosomal RNA is filed under the name uncultured bacterium. RNAcentral's name for it is "partial 16S ribosomal RNA". It matches the Rfam family "Bacterial small subunit ribosomal RNA", at positions 524 to 776 of the family's 1533-position model. The record is from RNAcentral.
UACGUAGGGUGCGAGCGUUAAUCGGAAUUACUGGGCGUAAAGCGUGCGCAGGCGGUUUUGUAAGCCAGAUGUGAAAGCCCCGGGCUCAACCUGGGAAUGGCAUUUGGGACUGCAAGGCUCGAGUGCGGCAGAGGAGACUGGAAUUCCUGGUGUAGCAGUGAAAUGCGUAGAUAUCAGGAGGAACACCGGUGGCGAAGGCGGGUCUCUGGGCCGAUACUGACGCUGAGGAGCGAAAGCGUGGGGAGCAAACAGG